UACGAAGGGGGCUAGCGUUGCUCGGAAUCACUGGGCGUAAAGCGCACGUAGGCGGUUCUUUAAGUCAGGGGUGAAAUCCUGGAGCUCAACUCCAGAACUGCCUCUGAUACUGAAGGACUCGAGUUCGGGAGAGGUGAGUGGAACUGCGAGUGUAGAGGUGAAAUUCGUAGAUAUUCGCAAGAACACCAGUGGCGAAGGCGGCUCACUGGCCCGAUACUGACGCUGAGGUGCGAAAGCGUGGGGAGCAAACAGG
This 253-nucleotide ribosomal RNA is filed under the name uncultured bacterium. Its description in RNAcentral is "partial 16S ribosomal RNA". It matches the Rfam family "Bacterial small subunit ribosomal RNA", at positions 524 to 776 of the family's 1533-position model. The record is from RNAcentral.